GUGGACAUAGUUUAACUAAAACAUUAGGCUGUGGCUCUAACAAUGAAGACUCAUCCCCUUCUGUUCACC
RNAcentral lists this transfer RNA (69 nucleotides) under Polypedates braueri (Java treefrog). RNAcentral's name for it is "tRNA-His". It matches the Rfam family "tRNA". From Rfam's summary of the family: Transfer RNA (tRNA) molecules are approximately 80 nucleotides in length. Their secondary structure includes four short double-helical elements and three loops (D, anti-codon, and T loops). The record is from RNAcentral. Lineage: Eukaryota; Metazoa; Chordata; Amphibia; Anura; Rhacophoridae.